ACAAAUCAGACUGAAAUCUAAAACAAAAGAUCACUCGAUUGGUCCUGAUCUAACAGUAAAUCGAUUUAAACAGAAGACAUAUUUGUUAACUGUUUAAACAAAAAUUCUUUCUCUUGAAGGUCCACUUAGACUCAAACCUUACUUGCCUUGAACACAUAAUUCCCUUUAGCCUUACACUGCACCCAAUUGAGACUUACAAACGGCAUUAUUCGGGACUUAAGGCGAUCUUGGGUUGUUUACGGCGAAGGUCGGGCGAUUAAAAGCGGAGCAAGAAAAAUAAAAGUUUGAAAAAACAUUUAAGUAAACAAAUCAAACUGUUUUCAAUCGAAACCACUGAUAGCAUCAAGAACCAACCGUGUGGCUCUGAUACCAUAUAACAGCGAGAUAAGUUUUUAAAAGAAAAACUUAAAUAGAAAAAGAAAAGAUUAAGAAGAUGACCGGUGAAUCGAUAAAGUAAUCUCUUUCUUUUAUUUAUAAACAUUUGAGGAAUGGAUUACAUUAAUUCCUAGACUAAAUGUUUAAGGGGGAAGAUCGAAGUAUUAAGGACUUCGUCUUCAUCUUUAACUAAGAAGGUCGAAGCUGAAAGCUUCGUCUCCGACUAACUCUAGAGAGAAGGGAGAGGACCUCGGAAGAGCUUUCUAGAGAGAGAAGCUCUGAGGCUACAUUGAAUUAAGCCUAAACAACUCUAAACACUUCGAGUUGUUUAAAUAUAAAACUAAAAAGUAAAUUACUAUUUGAUUCACGCAGGAAUCCCUAUUACAUUAACUGAAGUAAAAGUAAUUUACUAAAGUAAAAGUAAAACGUAAGAAAUAUUUUACAUUUACUUUUACAUUGGUAAAUGUAAGAAACAUUGAACUAAAGUUAAAAAUAUUUAACUUAAGUAAAAGCAAAAGUUAUUCUUUUACUUUUACUUUUACAUUUACUAAAGUAAAAGACUUUUGCUUUACGGAAAGUAAAAGCUGAGAUGAUGGCUGGGCCAUCACCUGUCUGUGACUUGAAGAUGCCUCUGGCGUCUUCUUCGUUGACUGGUCCGUCUCCUGUGGAUACCGGAAGGUGCUAUUGAUCAUCUUCUCAGAUGAGUCACCAUCCCCAUACAUUUCCACCUUAAAAAUUUUAUCCAGGAAAUAACCCUUUCACCCCCAAAAAUUUGGUUUAUAAAGAAGGAGGAAAAAAAAAAUUCUACCGAAAAUUGGUCAAAAUCUUCAAAAUUUUUUAGAUUUUGUAAAAAAAUUUUAUUUAAAAACAAAUCAGACAGAAAUCUAAAACAAAGGAUCACUCGAUUGGUCCUGAUCUAUCAGUAAAUCGAUUUAAAUAGAAGACAUAUUUGUUAACUGUUUAAACAAAAAUUCUUUCUCUUGAAGGUCCACUUAGACUCAAACCUUACUUGCCUUGAACACAUACCCGUAGAUCUAAAUAUUCCCUUUAGCCUUACACUGCUCCCAAUUGAGACUUACAAACGGAAUUAUUCGGGACUUAAGGCGAUCUUGGGUGGUUUACGGCGAAGGUCGGGCGAUUAAAAGCGGAGCAAGAAAAAUAAAAGUUUGAAAAAAUAUUUAAGUAAACAAAUAAAAUUGUUUUCAAUCGAAACCACUGAUAGCAUCAAGAGCCAACCGUGUGGCUUUGAUACCAUAUAACAGUGGGAUAAGUUUUUAAAAGAAAAACUUAAACAGAAAAAGAAAAGAUUAAGAAGAUGACCGGUGAAUCGAUAAAGUAAUAUCUUUCUUUUAUUUAUAAACAUUUGAGGAAGGGAUUACAUUAAUUCCUAGACUAAAUAUUUAAGGGGGAAGAUCGAAGUAUUAAGGACUUCGUCUUCAUCUUUAACUAAGAAG
RNAcentral lists this long non-coding RNA (1829 nucleotides) under Panax ginseng (ginseng). Its description in RNAcentral is "long non-coding RNA (PGIN_LNC009924)". The record is from RNAcentral. Lineage: Eukaryota; Viridiplantae; Streptophyta; Magnoliopsida; Apiales; Araliaceae.